This 71-nucleotide transfer RNA is filed under the name Phrynosoma platyrhinos (Desert horned lizard). RNAcentral's name for it is "tRNA-OTHER". The record is from RNAcentral. Lineage: Eukaryota; Metazoa; Chordata; Lepidosauria; Squamata; Phrynosomatidae.
GCCAGCAUGGUGUAAUGGUUUGAGUGCUGGACUACCACUCUGGAGAUCUGGGUUUAAUUCCCACUCUGCCA